UCCCCCCCAACCCUAGAGAAGCCCAGCCGCCCUAAUAUUCUCCGUCAAACUUGCCGGCGACGACAACCCAAACUAUUUCAAUGGCUAUAAAAUUCACACCCUAGCUUCCUCUCCUUAUCCUCAUUCCAAUUCCACAUCCAUUUUUCCCUCGAAUCACAUUCAAAUCUCUCGAAUCUCACUCAGAAGCUGCGAAUCCAAGCGUCGCCACAGUUCCUCUGGUGGCAGUGCUACCACCGAAUCUCUACAAAAUUUACACCC
This 258-nucleotide long non-coding RNA is filed under the name Nicotiana benthamiana. Its description in RNAcentral is "long non-coding RNA (NBEN_LNC011445)". Lineage: Eukaryota; Viridiplantae; Streptophyta; Magnoliopsida; Solanales; Solanaceae. The record is from RNAcentral.